This is a small nuclear RNA of Choloepus didactylus (southern two-toed sloth), 107 nucleotides long. The record is from RefSeq and is a predicted model, not a curated record. Lineage: Eukaryota; Metazoa; Chordata; Mammalia; Pilosa; Megalonychidae.
GCGCUUGCUUCGGCAGCACAUACACUAAAAUUGGAACGAUACAGAGAAGAUUAGCAUGGCCCCUGCGGGAGGAUGACAGGCAAAUUGGUGAAGCAUUCCAUAUUUUU